GUGAGGAAUAUUGGGCAAUGGGCGCAAGCCUGACCCAGCAACGCCGCGUGGAGGAAGACGGCCUUCGGGUUGUAAACUCCUUUUACGGGGGAAGAGGAAGGACGGUACCCCGAGAAUAAGUCACGGCUAACUACGUGCCAGCAGCCGCGGUAAUACGUAGGUGACAAGCGUUAUCCGGAAUUACUGGGCGUAAAGCGCACGCAGGCGGCGCGGUAAGUCUGAUGUGAAAUCUCCCGGCUUAACUGGGAGGGGUCAUUGGAAACUGCUGUGCUCGAGGCGAUGAGAGGGGUGUAGAAUUCCCGGUGUAGUGGUGGAAUGCGUAGAUAUCGGGAGGAAUACCAGUGGCGAAAGCGACACCCUGGCAUUAGCCUGACGCUCAUGUGCGAAGGCGUGGGGAGCGAACGGGAUUAGAUACCCGAGUAGUCC
Molecule: ribosomal RNA, 426 nt
Filed under: uncultured bacterium
Lineage: Bacteria
Description: bacterial SSU rRNA
Rfam family: Bacterial small subunit ribosomal RNA
Source: RNAcentral